This 235-nucleotide ribosomal RNA is filed under the name uncultured bacterium. Its description in RNAcentral is "partial 16S ribosomal RNA". It matches the Rfam family "Bacterial small subunit ribosomal RNA", at positions 99 to 334 of the family's 1533-position model. The record is from RNAcentral.
CGGACGGGUGAGUAACGCGUGGGUAACCUGCCUCAUACAGGGGGAUAACAGCUGGAAACGGCUGCUAAUACCGCAUAAGCGCACAGAGCUGCAUGGCUCGGUGUGAAAAACUCCGGUGGUAUGGGAUGGGCCCGCGUCUGACUAGGUAGUUGGUGGGGUGACGGCCUACCAAGCCGACGAUCAGUAGCCGACCUGAGAGGGUGACCGGCCACAUUGGGACUGAGACACGGCCCAA